This 331-nucleotide unclassified non-coding RNA is filed under the name soil metagenome. Its description in RNAcentral is "partial contains 5.8S ribosomal RNA, internal transcribed spacer 2, and large subunit ribosomal RNA". The stretch from base 1 to 120 matches the Rfam family "5.8S ribosomal RNA", at positions 35 to 154 of the family's 154-position model. The record is from RNAcentral.
GAUGAAGAACGCAGUGAAAUGCGAUAAGUAAUGUGAAUUGCAGAAUUCAGUGAAUCAUCGAAUCUUUGAACGCACAUUGCGCCCCCUGGUAUUCCGGGGGGCAUGCCUGUUCGAGCGUCAUUUCACCACUCAAGCCUCGCUUGGUAUUGGGCAACGCGGUCCGCCGCGUGCCUCAAAUCGACCGGCUGGGUCUUCUGUCCCCUAAGCGUUGUGGAAACUAUUCGCUAAAGGGUGUUCGGGAGGCUACGCCGUAAAACAACCCCAUUUCUAAGGUUGACCUCCGAUCAGGUAGGGAUACCCGCUGAACUUAAGCAUAUCAAUAAGCGGAGGA